AAUGAACGCUGGCGGCAGGCCUAAACAUGCAAGUCGAACGCCCUAGCAAUAGGGAGUGGCGCACGGGUGAGUAACAUGUGGGAAUAUGCCUUUUGGUACGGAACAACGUUUGGAAACGAACGCUAAUACCGUAUGGUCCCUCCGGGGUAAAGAUUUAUCGCCAAAAGAUUAGCCCGCACUAGAUUAGCUAGUUGGUAAGGUAAUGGCUUACCAAGGCGACGAUCUAUAGCUGUUCUGAGAGGAAGAUCAGCCACACUGGGACUGAGACACGGCCCAGACUCCUACGGGGGGCAGCAGUUAGGAAUAUUGGACAAUGGGCGCAAGCCUGAUCCAGCCAUGCCGCGUGAGUGAUGAAGGCCUUCGGGUUGUAAAGCUCUUUAGCCGACGAAUAUAAUGACUGUAGUCGGAGAAUAAGCCCCGGCUAACUUCGUGCCAGCCGCCGCAGUAA
Molecule: ribosomal RNA, 448 nt
Filed under: uncultured bacterium
Lineage: Bacteria
Description: partial 16S ribosomal RNA
Rfam family: Bacterial small subunit ribosomal RNA
Source: RNAcentral